This is a long non-coding RNA of Ictalurus punctatus (channel catfish), 751 nucleotides long. RefSeq lists it as uncharacterized. NCBI's taxonomy places the organism in Eukaryota, Metazoa, Chordata, Actinopteri, Siluriformes, Ictaluridae. The record is from RefSeq and is a predicted model, not a curated record. The transcript has 2 exons.
CAGGCAGUCAAUAUUACAAGUGGCAAUUUAACUAAUGAUUAUGUUAGUUUGUCCAAAUACUCUUAAAUUAUAGACUGCACUUAUACUGUGUUAGACAGCUACAGUCAUGUGAAAAAAUAAGUACACCCCAUGGAAAUUGUUGGCUCUAAAAAAUGCUGGGUUAUUCUUUCUACCCAAACGUUGGGUUUAGCCUUUUGGGUGAUUUAAUUGGGCAAUAUUUUCUCAAUCUUGGGUAGUUUUUGGGUAGUUUUGUGUAACCCAACCGCUGGGUUAGUAGCUGGGUCAUUUUCACUGACAGUUGAAUCAAUGCACCUGUCCCCCACCUUGACGCAUCAGCCCAGCUCCUUGGGUCAAAUCACCUCAGCGCUGACUGUUUGAAUUGGCCUCAGGUGGAGGUAGCGGUUUUCACACGGACAGACUGUCUGAUUUGUUUAGAGAAACACACUCAGAAAGGAUGUUAAUAUCCUACACACUGUUUGUGUUAUUACUAUUUCAACAUGAUAAAUUAUCCAAUAAUAAAAAAAAAACAUUAAAAAAGAAAACAAAUUCACACACGUGCUUUGAUCUUUGGUUGUGACAGCGGAGUCGGAGUCCUGAGGCGAGGAAACCAAAAGACUAUGGCUUUUUAACUGGAAGGGAGUGGGACUCCUGUCUUCCCAGAUGGAGGGAGAUUUAUAAGAAGAUACAUCAACUCCAAUUCUUACAUCUGUCAAAUGUUUGAAUGAUUUUAAUAAAUGUCACCUGAAUUUCA